Nymphalis io (European peacock) is the source of this 2068-nucleotide long non-coding RNA. RefSeq lists it as uncharacterized. The transcript has 3 exons. The record is from RefSeq and is a predicted model, not a curated record. Lineage: Eukaryota; Metazoa; Arthropoda; Insecta; Lepidoptera; Nymphalidae.
GCAAGCGCCGGUCGCUUACCGAUGCCUGUCAGUUUAAACGAUUAAAUAUAUUCCUUUUUGUAAGUAUAUUCGUUGAAUAUACGUCAUCUACUUUGUAAAACUUAUUUAAGAGGUUCGAGUUACCAAGCCUCUUUGUAUCGAAACCGUGCCUCUUGCAAUAUAAGUCAUAUAUUGCCUUAUUUCUACAUAUUUAAACACUCCUGAGGGAGUGUUUAUUUUUCUUUAAUUUUAUAUAUACUUUGUAUAUUGCAUUACAAAGUAAUAUAAUAUUUUUCGGUGAACUCAACCUAGGAAUUGUGGCUGAUUUGGGGCUGUUGGAGGCUCCGCUGUUUUGUGAAGGAGAGGCUGCUUGUCCUGUGGCCUGCUGUUACUGCUGGUGCUUUUUGCUGCUUCGCACUGCUUUUAUUUAUUUGUUCACUCAUUGUGACAAUGCGUUCGGGGUUUGCACUAUCCUGCUUAUUUCUUUAUUUAAGUCUAUUACUUAAUUUUAACCGAUGCCAACUCGCCUACAACUAACUUGUAAUAUUUUAUUGCAUGAAUGUUAACUUAAUUGACCAGAUGCUGUCAAGGGCCCACCCCCUGAUUUUUUAUGUUGUAAAUUUUAUAAUUAAAAUUUUAUAAUCUUUAUGAUCAGUUUUAUUAAUGUAACGGUAACUUGGUGGAACGAACACCGUGACAAUAUUCUUAGUGAAAUUAAAAUACAUUAAAAAAAUAUAAUUUAAUUAUUAACGUAUUAAUAAUCGAGAUUAAUAUUUGAAAGCAUUGUCCGAUUUAUUUCCAUUUAGAUUAAAACUUUAAUAAAAUAUGGUACGUAAACGAACCUUUACGUCUUAUAAAUUUCGUUGUUUGACUGUCAUUGAUGUAAUAGCCAAAUAUAGAACAAAUAUUUAGGCGAUCGUCGAUUUACGUUUACCUAUUUACAGAAUAAAUAAAUGUACCUUGAGAUGUAAAAACAUUACUCGGAACAGAUUAUACAUUAAUUUAAAAAAUGUCCCUAAUAAAAGAUAUUGAUUCUUAUACACGUUUAAGGCUGCCUGUCCACCGUAGCGGAGCGAGGCAGCGGAGCGGAGUAACAGAGUAAUGCGGAGCGGAGUUGCAGUCUGUGUAUGUCCACCAGAGCGGAGCUAGAAAGUAAUGCGGAGCGGAGUUGCGGACUAUUUUUCAUACGCGGGGAUAUGAGUACGCGACGAGUUAUUUCGAGCUCUCGGCGGCAAGCGAUUGAUUUAGUGCUACGCGAAAUGUCAGUGACAGCAGACAUGUUGUCGAAACAGUUAAUACGUUAUUACUUUACAUUACUCGAGGCAGAAGAGUUGGAGUCAGAAGAAACAGAAUUAUAUACCAUUUGAACAAUUCUAUAAGGAAACAUAGAUUUUGGUUAAGAAAUCAUAUCAAACAUCGUUCAGAACACAGUGAAUAUUUUACCUUUUUCCAAACUUCGAAACAUUCGAAAAUUCUUAUAGAGCUUUAAGAUGUACUUUUCAUGAACUUAAUGAAGUUUAUGAAAACUCUGAUAGAACAAUAUAUGCAUUUUGUCUUUUUAAGGCAUCUCGAUGGUUAUCUCUUAGUUGUUUCCAUCGCGAUUUUGCAGUUUUCACUGAAACAGUUAACAUACACAAUGUAUUCUAUGGUCUAUUUAUAAAAAAAUAAUAGAUGCACAUACGUUACGUAUAAUUAAAUAGGUUUAUUUUUAGGUAUUUAGCAACCGGUCAGUCAUUUACAACGAUGGGAGAGAAUUUUAAAAUUGGAUUGAAAAGUGUAUCGAGAAUAGUUGAUGAGGUUUGUGAUGCUUUAUGGAAUGUAUUGCAACCUCUUGUUAUGCCGCAACCAACCGAAAAGGACUGGAAAGAAAUCGCAAAAGAUUUUGAUGAACUAUGGCAAUUUAAAAAUUGUACAGGUGCUCUUGAUGGCAAGCACGUAUACAUCAAGGCUCCCUCGAAAACUGGGUCCUCGUUUUUCAACUACAAAAAGAGGUUUUCUGUAGUAUUGAUGUGUUUAGCUGAUGCCAGAAGAAAAAUCAUUAUGAUUGAUGUGGGCUCUAUGGGGAGAUUUUCUGACGCAGGAAUUUUUG